UAACGUCCACAAUGGACUCGCCCUGCCA
Molecule: small RNA, 28 nt
Filed under: Bombyx mori (domestic silkworm)
Lineage: Eukaryota; Metazoa; Arthropoda; Insecta; Lepidoptera; Bombycidae
Description: ovarian small RNA-2869
Source: RNAcentral